This 38-nucleotide ribosomal RNA is filed under the name Populus deltoides. RNAcentral describes it as "partial 26S ribosomal RNA". Lineage: Eukaryota; Viridiplantae; Streptophyta; Magnoliopsida; Malpighiales; Salicaceae. RNAcentral also lists the same sequence under 1 other name. The record is from RNAcentral.
UGCGACCCCAGGUCAGGCGGGACUACCCGCUGAGUUUA